UUUCUGGUUUUUUGGUCACCCUGAAGUUUAUAUUCUAAUUCUUCCAGGUUUUGGUAUGGUUUCUCAAAUUAUUCCUACUUUCUCUAACAAAAAACAAGUAUUCGGUUAUUUAGGAAUGGUUUACGCUAUGUUAUCAAUUGCUAUCUUAGGAUUUAUUGUUUGGGCUCAUCACAUGUUUACUGUUGGAAUGGACGUAGACACUAGAGCUUACUUUACAGCUGCAACUAUGAUUAUUGCUGUCCCCACAGGGAUCAAAAUCUUUAGUUGGUUAGCUACUCUUUACGGAGGGCAAGUAAGAAUGGACACCCCAAUGCUUUGGGCUUUAGGUUUUGUCUUCUUAUUUACCAUAGGGGGAUUAACUGGGGUUAUUCUAGCUAAUAGCUCUCUUGAUAUCGUCCUCCAUGACACUUAUUAUGUUGUGGCCCAUUUUCAUUACGUCCUUUCUAUGGGGGCUAUCUUUGCUAUUUUUGCUGGAUUUUAUUAUUGAUUUGGUAAACUAACAGGGUAUUGUUAUAAUGAACUCUAUGGCAAGAUCCAUUUCUGAGUAAUGUUUGUAGGAGUUAACCUUACUUUUUUCCCCCAACAUUUCUUAGGGCUAGCCGGACUCCCUCGUAGAUACUCUGAUUUCCCUGAUAGUUUCACAGAAUGGAAUACUUUAAGCUCUUUUGGCUCAGCUAUUUCUAUUGUUGCUGUCUUGUGAUUUGUUUAUGUUGUAUACGAUGCUUUUGUCAGAGAAAUUCCUUUUGUAACUUGAUUGGAAAAUGAAAAUCAAGCCCCUUCUCUAGAGUGGGUACAAUUAUCACCCCCUAAUAUUCAUACAUAUAAUGAAUUACCUUUUAUUUAUGCCCCUAGGGCCAUUACUCUCCCCUAACCUAUAAAAUUCUGGUCUUUGCCCUUAAAGCUCCUUACAAAGAAGAAGGCUCUUACUGCUCAAAAGCUUUUUUUUGAUCAAUUAAAACAUUUUAUUACCUUAAAGUAAAGAAAUCCAUCGAGAUUAUGCAAGUAGUGGCGAACGAAAGCAACCCUGGGCCAAAGUACUCUUAAGAAAAGAACCCCUUCUAACCCUUAAAUAGGCAAGACACAGAUAGUGAACAGUACCGUGAGGGAAAAAUGAAAGAAUUUGAAAACAACAGUAGGUUAGUUUUCUGUUAUUAAAAACGUACCUUUUGCAUAAUGGGCCUGCCAGUGAUCAUUUGGCAAACUGAAAGUCAAGUCAAAUUCCCCGAAACCAAGUGAUCUAACCCUUUCCCAGAUUUUAAGUCUUUACCGGUGGCUGUGGCAACAUCCUCGGGAGAGGAAGGGUUAGCGGUGAAAUACCAAUCGAACUUGGCACUAGCUGGUUUUCCACGAAAGGCAUUUAAGUGCCGGAGGUUUAUUAUUUAGGCUUGUCUUCUUCGACAAACCCCCCUAAUUAUAGCCCUACUGAGCCCUUAGGCGAUAAGGUCUAAGGACCAAAGGGAAACACCCCUAAACUCUAGUAAAAGACAUAAAAUCCCCCUAACGUCCACAGAGACCCCCUAAUAAACUGGUUUUAAGUAGGCUUGGAAGCAGCCACCUUAGAAUGAAGGCGUAAUAGCCCCUAACCCGAUAGGUUUUCUCUAAAAUCCAGAUGGCUUUUAAUCUUAAGCUGAGUUUAAUGUAGUGGAACAUGCUGUUCUAAUCCACCACGCAAGUAAAACAGCAGCGCUAAUGCAGGCAUGAGUAACAACCUCUUUCGGGGUUUUGUAAGCCAACCCCUAAGCUAACAGCAAUGGGAUCUAAAGGAAUUCACAGGAAGCCCCCUUUAGUUGAAUUGUACAGAACACCAUGAAAGUAAUCCUUGAUUUAUUUUUCUUAAGGAACUCGGCAAACAGGCUCUUUAGAGCCCUUGAACAUCGACUGUUUACCAAAAACAUAGCCCCUAGACCCCUAUUAGAGGUGACGCCUGCCCGAUGGUUUAUCCUAAGUUAAUUAACAUUAACGAACCUGAACUCAAUGGCCGCGGUAUUUCUGACCGUGAUAAUGUAGCGAAAUCAAUCGUCACUUAAUUGCUGACCUGUAUCAAAGGUAUUACGAAUGUUCCCCUGUCUCAAGAAAAAUCCCUGUGAAAUUGAAGGGGCCGUGCAUAUGCGGCCUAUUUUCCUGUAAGACGAAAAGACCCUAUUGAGCUUUACUAUAACCUUUCCUCAAAACACUAAGAAAAUGAGUAGCCCUCUAAUCUUAGUACUAGGAAAGGCUGGUAGUUUCGUUGGGGCGACGACCUUUCAAAAAGUAACAAAGGUUAGCGAUGGUUUUCUAUUUAAUGAAUCUUAGCCUGACUGUUUGGCUUAUAAGCCUACCAGACACUUUCGUGAGCCAUAAUUUUCCAUUUUAGGGGCAACCCUAAAAUGCCAUAAUAUAAAAGUUACCAUAGGGAUAACAGCGUAAUUUUGUCGAAGAGCUCUUAUCGAUGACAAAGAUUGCGACCUCGAUGUUGAAUUGUGGUAUCCUGGGGGUGUAGCCGCUCCCAAGGGUUGGUCUGUUCGACCAUUAAAACCGUACAUGAUUUGAGUUCAUUCCGCCGUCAGGCAGGAAGGUUUCUAUCUACAGGCCCCUCUCUCAGGGCAAUCCCCCCUAGUACGAAAGGACCGGGUGGAUCUUCCCUCUGCUUACCUCAGGUAAGGAAGUUAACCUACCCUUGGCUGCCGCUAAAGGAGCAUUUAACCCCUGAGACCCUAUCCCUAUGAGAAUUAAACCCUUCUUCCAAUUCUCCUUAAAUGACACUUCCACUCUCUCAGAAUUUUCAACAAAGUGAAAGAACUGUUUUCGCCCCGACCCCCACCCUAUCCCCCUAGGCCCAUUUUUUAUUUAUU
This 2831-nucleotide ribosomal RNA is filed under the name Haliclystus sanjuanensis. RNAcentral describes it as "bacterial LSU rRNA". The stretch from base 913 to 2724 matches the Rfam family "Bacterial large subunit ribosomal RNA". Lineage: Eukaryota; Metazoa; Cnidaria; Staurozoa; Stauromedusae; Haliclystidae. The record is from RNAcentral.